RNAcentral lists this long non-coding RNA (707 nucleotides) under Homo sapiens (human). Its description in RNAcentral is "HSALNT0403991". The record is from RNAcentral. Lineage: Eukaryota; Metazoa; Chordata; Mammalia; Primates; Hominidae.
GCCCCUUCCGCCGCGGGCGGCAGCUUCCGGCUCGCGCAUGCGCAGUGUUCGCGGACUCGCCGCCAACGCCCAGUACAGUCGGGGACGAGUUUAGAUACAACUGGCCAGCAUUGAUGUUAAAAUAGAGACCAUGAGACUGAUGGAACAGACUUUUUGUGGCAAUAAGAUACAAAAAUUAUAAACAAGACCUAAGGCCAUUCCAGGAAAGAUCCAAGAGGCCCUUUGCCAAUUCCAACUGGAACAUCCAACAUCGGACACUAAUCCAGCCAACUGCCAUAACUACAGCUUUGAUUAGACAAGAGACUGAUUUCAACAACUUUCUCCUGAUAAGAAGAUCAUGGACUAUGGAAUGGACUGGUUCUGGUUUACAGAGGCUGUGUACUUGCGUGCCUUGAUGUCCUGAAAGACCUUUUGACAGAUAGGGCCUAAUGGUAAUACAUUUAAAUGUCAAGUCACCAUCCCAAAGUGAAUAUACAUGAGUCGUAUGUUACAUGCAUGUUUCUUCAAUAUGCAUGUAUCAGGACCACCUUCAUGAAUAUUCACAGCUCCUCCUGUAAACUGUUGAAUGUGUAAGUUUAGCCAACCUGUUCAGUCUAAAGCUCCUGCCUCAAAGCCUCCCCCUUCAAAGUGCCCGUCUCUGUUUCUGCUGGAGUCAGCUCCCCAGCCUCCAGGAUGGCUACCUUGCAGGUUGUACCCGUUUAGAAGAA